CCUACGGGUGGCUGCAGUGGGGAAUAUUGGGCAAUGGGCGCAAGCCUGACGCAGCAACGCCGCGUGAGGGAAGAAGGCUUUCGGGUUGUAAACUUCUUUUCUCAGGGACGAAGAAAGUGACGGUACCUGAGGAAUAAGCCACGGCUAACUACGUGCCAGCAGCCGCGGUAAUACGUAGGUGGCAAGCGUUAUCCGGAUUUAUUGGGUGUAAGGGGCGUGUAGGCGGGAGCGCAAGUCAGAUGUGAAAACCCAGGGCUCAACCCUGGGCCUGCAUUUGAAACUGUGUUUCUUGAGUGUUGGGGCGGCAAUCGGAAUGCCGGGUGUAGCGGUGAAAUGCGUAGAGAUCCGGAGGAACACCAGUGGCGAAGGCGGAUUGCUAGAC
RNAcentral lists this ribosomal RNA (382 nucleotides) under uncultured bacterium. RNAcentral describes it as "partial 16S ribosomal RNA". It matches the Rfam family "Bacterial small subunit ribosomal RNA", at positions 338 to 734 of the family's 1533-position model. The record is from RNAcentral.